Long non-coding RNA from Cebus imitator (Panamanian white-faced capuchin), 6874 nucleotides. RefSeq lists it as uncharacterized. Lineage: Eukaryota; Metazoa; Chordata; Mammalia; Primates; Cebidae. The record is from RefSeq and is a predicted model, not a curated record. The transcript is spliced from 9 exons.
AGUUAUUUAAAAUCGUAGGGUAGGCCUUUUUGAGGCUGACAUAAUUUAUCUGUAGCUCUGCUUAGAAGCUAGGAUAUGGAUGAUAUGACUUCUAUAGGCCCCUGCACGUCCCAGGAAUAUAUGGGUAAUUGGUUUUAGCAGUGCUUGAACAGCACAUGGUUUCAGUAUAGAGUAGGCAGAAUUUGACCCCAGAAAAACAGACAUAAUUUUUAUUUUUUUUUUAAAAUAGGAGCCCUUGAAGAAAGCCUGAAAUAAUUCCAGAGUUACUGUAAACAAAGUGGUGGGAGCCUUAUUCAUCACAGAGAAAAGUCAGGCUCAUUAAAGAAGGCCCUCUACACAACAUCCACAGAUACAGCAGACACAGAUGAAAGAUGGGUGCAACCCAGAACAGAGAGUAAAGAAUGACCAGGCAACACUCUUUGAAAAUUGGAGACCAUUUGCAGCUGCUCUGUGUUGAGGAAAGUGAAUAAUAGGGUGCCCUCAAGGAAUUUCGAAGACCCCUGCAGAAGGAGGACAGAGAACAAUGUUGAUCCAACCUACAAAGGUUGGAUCACUUCUAGAGGAUCCUAGAAGAGCUCACUGCAAGACUACAGCUUCCACCAUGAUUGUUUGGGUAGCCAGUUUAUCUGCUUAUGUAAGAUCCUUACAGUCCUAGGUUAGUGACAUGAAAGCACAGCCCUGGGAGCCAUGCAGCAGCCAGUGCUCUGCCCACAUGUAACCCUUUGGGACCUCCACUUCAAUUCCCCCAAAGAGGAAAGCAAAGGAAAGAAGAACAAAAAUGUCUGAAGCACCGACAUCAGGCACUGGCCCAGCUGCCAUGGACCCCCAAGUUCAAGAUCAUAUAACCUCAGCCGGCCCAAAUGCACCAAGCAUACAACCACAGGGGGAACCUAACUGUUCCAGUGGAAGAGCGGGGACCAAUUUAAGUGGUGGACACCAUGUGGCAGAAUCCAGGAUCCAAUCAGAUUGAGCCCUGGGGUCACCCUGUGGCAGGAUCCAGUUGGAUCAUGCCCCCUGGCAUCACCUAUUGCAAGAUCCAAUCAGGAAAAGCACAGUACAGGGGCCUUUGGAAGCACAUGGCACACCUAUCUAAUCCAGUGGAGAGAGACUUGAAAAAUCCUGGAAAGGGAGACACAAACAGAAUCUUAAAAGGCAUGUUGAAUACCCUCGUCCAGGCCCGAACACAAUGCCGCUGACCAGAACACAGCAGAGUCACCAGCCACCUUCACUGACUUUUAAAUAACAAAAGAAGUUUUGUUCUUCAUCUUCGCUGACAAACUUGCAGAAGAAGGUGGACAUCUGAUUGACAGGCAGUGACGAAAACUAGCAUUCGAGAAGAUGACUUUGAAAAUGGUUCCACAUGUCUUCUGCCUGGCCAACUACUCCUGUUGACUGUAAAAAUGUACGCAUCGUCUCUAAAGGUAGGAGUGCGACGUCUGAAUUUCAAAGGCAGGUAUACAUCAGUGGUAAGCAGGUCUUUGCUAUUCACUUAUAGAAAAAUGAACUCAUUCUUUAAAAUUAAGCAAUGAACCACGUUUGAGAAAUCAUUACAAAUAUAUUUACAUGUAUAUAUAUUAUUCCAUUUAUCUGUUAGAAGUUAAUAUUAAAUGUCUCCUGGUGAAUAUCAGGAAUAUUCAUAUAAAAAAUAUAUGUAGGAAAGAUUACUAUUACCUAAAGAAAACUAUCUUAAUAGAAAUGUUUAUGAAUAUAUAUAUUUACCAUAUGUAUUCAUCAUAUAUAUGUGUGUGAACCUGAAAUAUAUUUUAUAUGUAAAUACAUAUUAAUAUUACACAUUUAUAGGCAUUCUACAUAUUUUGGUACAUAACUCAUAUUCUUUCAUUGUUCCUUGCCCUCUCUACCCUUUUUGAAAACAUAACUCAUUAUUUAUGUCAAUACUCCUCAUUUUCCUUUCCUAUUGUAAUUUUUUUUAUUGCGGUUAUUAUAUAAUAUGCUAAAUAAUACAUUGGUUUAUUAUAUCUAUUGUUUACUGAGUAUUGGCUAUUUUGCUAUACUCUAAGAUGAACUUCAUGAGAGAGAGGAUCAUCCUUUUAUUCAUGAAAACACCCAACAUUCUGUAAUAGAGCAUGGCAUGACUAUUAUAAGUGCUCAGUAACUGAAUGAAAGAAUGGAUACUUUACAAGCAUCAUGCGUGUAUCCAUGUUUAUAUGUAUUUUUGUAUGUGAGGAUACACACACACUCAGAUAUGUGUGUAUUUAGAGUUUUAAAUUAUAAUUUUCCUAUGUCUUCUUCCUAGUUUUUCUUCUUUUGGUGUUUAAGCCAUUCUUUUCUUCUGUAUCAUUUACGGAAUACAUGUGCUUAGAAGUAUGAUUCAAAGGGUCCAGCAUAGUUGCCUCAUAUUCUGACUUCAGAGUUCUAAGAUAUAUAGUAUAUCAAGCAAAAUACUUAAAAAAUCAUCUUUUUUAAUUUUCUUAGCUUUGGGGUUGCUCUGAGCUUGGUUGACCAGUAGUUCUUCCAAGUCAAAUCAAAGGGAAAGUUGCUCUUGAACUAAAAGAAACAAUGUAGAUUGUAUCCAAUAGCAUCUUCCAGUGAAAUAGUCACUCUAGUUCAGAAGGAUCAUCUGAGCCAAUAUAACUCAGAUGUGUUUGUAUUAAAUGCAAACAUUAUCAUUCUGUAUCAAGGUAGGAAAUUAUUACACACUAUCAUGUAAGUUGGCAAAUCUAAAGUCCAAAUGGCUCAGCCUCAAAUAUUUUUAUCAACAUUGGCAAGCAAGUUGGGCUGCUAAACUUUUGUGAGCCAUGCAGGUGAAUUUAACAGUAUUGUGAAUUGUGUUAUAAAAAAAUUAAAUUUCCAUUUAUUCAAGUCUCUGUCCAAAAUGUCUCUCAUUAGUGAUAAAUAAAUAGUAUCCUCUUCAUGUACUUUUAUAUUGUCUAUUAUAAUUUAUAUUCAUUUUGCCUAUUUGAUUUCUAUCUGUUCUUUUUGCUAGAAUAUAAGCUUUAUGAAGGCAAGAACUUUGCAUGUUUUGUUCAUUCCUGACUGUCCAGUGUUCAGAAAAAUAUUCCUAAUAAAGUAUAGGUGCUCAUAUCGUAGUUGUUAAAUCAAUGAAUGAAUAAAAAAUAAGUAGCAUGAGGAAGAAGAUGUUCCUUCUAAAAAGCAUUUGGUUGGUCCCCAAGAUGCUUAUGCACACUUCAAGGAAGAAUUGAAGAGGCCUGGCACUGAGCUUUUCAAAUAAUAAAUUCGUUUUCUGAGAAGCACUUUUAAUCUUUCCUAGAAACCACUCUAAAAAGAGAAAGACUUUAGGAGUCACAUUUGUCACAAGUCAAGUGUUACAGUAUUCGACACCUAUGAUUUCAUAACUACAUGCUUAUUCCUUAGAAAUCGCCUGAUUUUUGAGGUAUUUUGUUUUGGAAACACAAGGUUGAGUUUUAAUACAAAAAAAAAGAAAGAAAAAAAUGUAAAAUAAAUGUGUUCCAGAGAAAAUAAAUGAAUGGAGAAGAUUGCAAAGAUGCAGACCUCUGGCCAUGGGACGGGAAAAGAUCAGGAUUUCCAUUUUAGACAUGUUAAGGUUGAGAUGUCCUUUUGGGGGUUCAAAAAGAUAUGUUGAUAAUGUAGUUGCAUAUUUAAGCCUGGAGUUAGUAAGUUACCACCAUAUGGUUAUCUAAAGCCAUGUAAAAAAAGUGAAUGUAGAUAGAAAGAAGAGGUCUGAUCAUUGACCUCUGAGACGCUCCUACAUUAAGCAAUUGGGGUAAUUGCAUUUAUCAAGUAGGAAUAGUUACAGGAUUUACCAAUAGGAAUACAAAGAAGCAGUAGUAAGGGAGGUAGCAGUAGAAGGAAAAAUAGGCAACUGUGGUGUUCUGAUCAUCAAAUAUAGAAGAAUAUUUAAAAUGUUGAGAUUGAAAUGCUGGAAUCAAACUAUAUUGUUUUUAAUGAGUUUUGAAAUUAUUCUAUAAGUCAGUUUUAUAUCUAUUUAUUUUUCAUCAUAAAAAUGGCAGGCAGUCUCGGAUUCAAGUCAUUUUCCUGCCUCAGCCUCCCUAGUAAAAUGUUUUGUUUAGGUUUUGUUGUUGUAGUUGUUGCGGUUUUUGUUUUGUUUUUAAAUUUAUAGCAUUUCCAUUGUAUUCUUUCUGUACGUCUGUGCUAAAUUUUCCCAUUUGCUCAUUCAUGUUGUCCAUCUUUUCCACCAGAUGUCAAAAUAUUUAAUCAAUUAUUUUAAAGCCUCUGUCAGUUAAUUCCAAUAUAUUAGUCAUCUAUUGUUACGUUGCUCACUUUUUGUAAAUGAGCCGUUUUUUUCUUAGAUUUUUUUGUGUAUAUAUCUUAUAAUUUUUAUUGAAUAUCAGAUAUAAUGUGUAGAAGAAUAGCAGGAAUGCAGGAAGAUAAUAUUUAUACCUAGAAAUGAUUGUACCUCCUCUUUUUCUUAGCAGUUAGAAUGCAGGGUUUAGCCAAUCUAGUCAAGAGUUUGUGUGGCUUGGGGUUCUUGUUGCUGUAAUUAUCUUCAAUGUACUAUGGCUUCAAGUAGGAUAUAGUAGGAUACAGAGUCAGGACAUAGUCCCCUAGGUUUUUUUCAGAGUCCAUUUUUCCCCCAUUUGUUUUUAGUCAUUACUAAAUACCUGCACCACAGAGUGGAGUCUCUCUUCAGGUUCUUGUCACUUUCCCAGUGAUAGAAUACCACACCAGGGAAUUGAUGCUUGGCUCAUGGUAGGAUUGGGAAGGUUCUUUGUUGGUACAACCUCGAUCUUAGGCAGGACCUAUGUAUCUGGGCAUCAGGAGUGAUACAUUUUUACAGUUUCCAUACUUCCUCUUCAUGGCAGCCAAACUCUCUCUUGCAUUUGUGACUGCCAUGUUGUGUAUAUGGGGUGGAAGGGAUAAUUCUCCAUCAGACUCUUUGCUUCUGUACGUCUUACCAGCAGACACACGGACUGCCUUUUACUCCCUUGGACUUUCUUUUCAAGAGUAUUUAUAUAGUGAAUAUCUUUAUAAGAUAAAGAUAGUGCCGUGCCUUCUUCUGAUGCCUCUCCUUUGCAAAUUUGUUUGCUGUCCAGCAUAAUACAGAGAUAUUUUUCUUCUGGGGCAAAAAUCAGGUAGAUUUGUUUGUUGUCAAUUAUAAAAGAUUUGAGGAUUCUACAUUAGGGCUCUUCCUCUGUAAUGCAACUGACUGCAUGUGAAUGCAUCAUCUAACCCUCAUCAUGUCACCAAGGUGAAAGAAAACAACGACACUCUGACUACCACUACUGCAGUGAGUAUUAAAUUGCCUUUGUCUCUGACCCAGCAGCCUCAUGGCAUUCUGCCAGCAUUGAGAGAAUUGUGUAAAGCUAAUGGGUUGUUAGCUUGUUAAAGUAGGGUAAAAUCUCAGACACUUCAUACUUCUUGAAAAUCUUAGGUGGAAGUUCCCUGCCCUUCCACUAGUGGUAUCAGGCCUCCACUUGAAACCUGUGUAGGGUCCUGGGUCUAAGGCUGUUUUGUAUUUCUCCGCCCCAGGAACACAGGAUUCAACCCUUUCCUCAUAGCAAUGAACUGUUGCCUGUGCCAUAAGAGUUAACUCUACUCCUCCAGAGUCUAAGUGAAUUUUCUUCUUCUCCUUUCUCAUAGACUUAAACCAUUUGCUUUAUUUUUUCUUUUUAAAGUGUUCUACAAAACUUUAAAAGUGGUCAGAGCCUUAACCCUCAUAUAUGCUAACAGCUUCUUUAUUAGUACUCCUGAGAGGGAAUUAUUCUGGUAUCCUGCUCAGUUUUUAGUCUUUCUCCUAAGCAAAUGGUCGAGACCCACGGAUAAAAUACUACAACUUUCCUUGUGUCUAGGGCCCUUAGCAAUCCCAAAUAAACACAUGAACCUAUCCUCCUCGGCAUUUAAGGAUUAAUUAAAUUUUUUGCUCAUUCAUUUUGUACCAACUUCUACGGUGGUCAUCUUUUUUACAUUUUCGCUAAGCAAUUUGUGACACAGUUUGCAUGUCCUGACUCUCUUUGGAUGUGUUGAUUCACCUUUGAAUUUGAUUUACUUGUUUGCCUUUAGGAAUUAGCUUUUUAAUGAGUUUAAGACAAGUUAUAGUCUUGUAGCUAAUGCCUAUGGUCUGAAGGUUUGUCUUGCCAAAAUUCAUAUGUUGAAACCUAAUCUCGAAUAUGAUAGUAUUGUAAGAAUGGGCUUUUGGCAGGUGAUUGGGUCUUGAGGGCUCUGCCGUCUUUAAUGGGAUUAAUUCUCUUAUAAAAAAAAGACCUCAGAGAGCUAACUAGCCCUUUACACCUUAUCUUUUCCACUGUAUGAGGACACAGCAAUAAACUAUUCUGUAACCUGAAACUGGGUCUUCACCAGAAACUUACCUUGCUGACACCUUGAUCUUGGACUUCCAGCCUUCCAUGCUGUGAAAAAUACAUUUCUGCUAUUUAUAAGCCACCCAGUUUUUUGUAUUUUGUUAUAGAAGCCUGAACAGACAAAGACAAUAAUCUAGCCUUUUCUCCUUGUUAGGUAUAGAGUCACAUUCUUUGCAGGUUUCUAUUCUUCUAGAGGAUGAGUCUAAAGAAGUGACAUAUUGUCAAAUUCAAUAUUCAAAUGGGAUAUUGUCUAGAGAAAAAAAAAUGUUUAAUUUGUUCACUUGACAAAGAUUUCCCGUCUUACUAAAGACCAAGCUGUUACACUAAGCCACAUUGUGAACACUGAAAGAUGUACAAAUCAUGGCGGAAGAGUAAUAUGCAUAUCAUUAUCCAGGUUUUGGGUUGGAGGCAUGCCAGCUUGGUUAGCCCAUUGGCAAGAAUGUUAUCCCAUUUGAAGUCCAGCUACCUGGGCUCCAAGCUUUAUCCUUAAGAACUCCCACCAGGCGCGAUGGCUCAUGCCUAUAAUCCCAGCACUUUGGGAGGGCAAGGCAGGUGAACCACCUGAGGUCAGGAGUUCAAGACCAGCCUAACCAACAUGGUGAAACCCCGUCUCUACU